AACAACUACGGUAUCGGUCACAUGACUUUCUUGAAGCGACACCGAUACAGGGUUUAGCUCUAUGGGCUCCUAGUAUGCACCAAAGUCACUAUUAGAUACUAUGCACUUAGAAUAAUUCAUUGUAUUCCACCUGCAAAUUGUCUUACCUACCUCCUUAAAUGAAGAUAAUAUUAACCUGUUUAAAGAAAAAAUGACAAACAUGUACAUUUUAUGGUAAAUUGUUUUCAAUUCAGGGGCCAUAUUGGAACAGGACCCUGUUAGGCCCCUUCUAGAACCGGCCCUGUCCUCAAAUUCCUCUUUAAAUGCAUUUAUUGGAAUUUUAUUUAAUAAAUCAAGCUGAGACUAGUUCAGUUUUCAACUUUUAUUUAUUUUGUGUACAUUUUUACAGUCUAUUUUUUCCACAUACACUGAACCAACAGGGGUUCUAUAUACAUACACUGGAUAGAUCUGCAACUUGUGCAGGUUGUAAUAUAGACCUAUGCAGAUUUCACUCUGGUCAUUUGAACUGAACUGAAAAAUGCAGAAACAUUCAAUUUGACACAGAAAGAAAAACAAAAUUAUUUUUUUCUAAUUUUCUUGCAGCUUUAAGAUAUAAAAAAAAUGUAUAAAUAUGUUUUUUUUUCUCAAUAUAUCAUCAGACAAAACCUGAAAAGCACUGUUCAGUGCUUCAACUGAAGGCACCAGAUGAGCACAACAGAAGCAGAUUAUUCUGAAUCUGUCUCCAUGUUGAAUAUUAAACCAACCCUUCAGUCAAAGAAACACACUCAUGCCCUGUUUUUCAUUUCCAUCCUUAAACACAGAACAAUAAAAAAAAGUUCAUGAUACAGAAUCGAGUCCUCCUCUAAACCUUGGAGAGCUCCCCCUUAUUAACCCAGGAUAAACACUGGAGAAAGCCUGUUUAAAGUGCAUGAGUGUCACUCAUUCGGAGAAUAAACUUAGGAUAUGUCUGCGUUACGGUGGAGUCAAAUUACUGUACAGAAGAGCUUUUCUUUUUUCCCAAGAGGCAGAGUUGUGAGGUAAGAUGAGGGACGUGCAGAGCCUAAACACUGUGCCUCCUGUUGUGGAUCAUAGCCAUAAUGUGGCGCAGGUCCAAGCUCUUCAUCAUCACCUCCAUGAAGUCUUCAUCGCUUCGAGCGCCUUCCACAAACUCCUCCAAAGACAGCUCACCUGUUCAGAGACGCACAGCGUUACAAAUUAAGCUUCAAAAUGGGUUUUCCUGCUACUGGAGCGACAUCUCAGAUGUAGCUGGAUCCAAUCACCUCAAUCCUUAUCUAGAGGAUGUUUAAAUGUUCUCUCUAUCUAAGAGGGUGUCUUUGCUUCAGCUUGAGCUUUUUAGGGGACCCUAAGGACUCUGACCAUCCAAACCAGGCCAGU
Cyprinodon tularosa is the source of this 1374-nucleotide long non-coding RNA. RefSeq lists it as uncharacterized. NCBI's taxonomy places the organism in Eukaryota, Metazoa, Chordata, Actinopteri, Cyprinodontiformes, Cyprinodontidae. The transcript is spliced from 3 exons. The record is from RefSeq and is a predicted model, not a curated record.